RNAcentral lists this ribosomal RNA (443 nucleotides) under uncultured bacterium. RNAcentral describes it as "bacterial SSU rRNA". It matches the Rfam family "Bacterial small subunit ribosomal RNA", at positions 335 to 769 of the family's 1533-position model. The record is from RNAcentral.
ACUCCUACGGGAGGCAGCAGUGGGGAAUAUUGCACAAUGGGCGCAAGCCUGAUGCAGCCAUGCCGCGUGUAUGAAGAAGGCCUUCGGGUUGUAAAGUACUUUCAGCAGUGAGGAAGGUGGAUAUGUUAAUAGCAUAUUCUAUUUGUACGUUAGCUGCAGAAGAAGCACCGGCUAACUCCGUGCCAGCAGCCGCGGUAAUACGGAGGGUGCGAGCGUUAAUCGGAAUUACGUGGCGUAAAGCGCAUGCAGGUUGGUUUGUUAAGUCAGAUGUGAAAGCCCGGGGCUCAACCUCGGAAUUGCAUUUGAAACUGGCAAACUAGAGUACUGUAGAGGGGGUAGAAUUUCAGGUGUAGCGUGAAAUGCGUAGAGAUCGUGAAGGAUACCGGUGGCGAACGGCGGCCCCGUGGACAGAUACUGACACUCAGAUGCGAAAGCGUGGGAGC